Molecule: non-coding RNA, 2196 nt
Organism: Petromyzon marinus (sea lamprey)
Lineage: Eukaryota; Metazoa; Chordata; Hyperoartia; Petromyzontiformes; Petromyzontidae
Source: RefSeq, a predicted model, not a curated record
GGGGCGGGGAGGGAGGAGAAGCCGGCGAGAGAAGGUUACAGAGCACAGUUAAACACGGACCGAUGUUUGAAAAACAAACGAGACUUACCAGCUCAUUAUGUGGGUCAGAAGGUGCAAGUGAUGCAAGUGGAAUGAGAGAGAUCAAGAGGAAGGCAGCAGAAGACGAGGUGGAGGGAGCGAUGCGGUGCGAUGGGACCACGGUGGCCCGAGGAGCGGAAAGGGAGAUGGCGCAGGACAGGGCAGCGUGGAGAAGUUUGGCAAGGACAGCGGACCCCACGUGAGUGGGACAAACGCGUGGAAGAAGAAGACUUAUCAGCUCAAGUGGUUCACCGUUGCUUGACGUGGAAACGCACUGCAAAUGAACAAGCCACGUAACGUUCACCCCCUCCCCCCACCUCCUCGCCACGAAACCACAAGGAGACAACGAAUUGUCACAAUUCAAGGUAGAAAUUGGGAGUAAAGAUUAUAUUCCCUUUGUAUAUGUAUGCCACGGCGAUCACAAACCUUAUAUUUAUGUCCCGUUUGCACAAUUGGAUUUGUCCCGUCUGCCUAAAUAUUAAUGGUAGAAUAUUAUUUGCAAUUCAAUGAGUGUAUCGUGACAAUAAGAAUCGAUGAGAAUUGAUGAAUCUAUGACAUCACUGCCUCUGGAGGGUGGAGGGGAAGGCAGCGCAGAGCAUGCAGGGCAAGAGAAACGACGUUAAGCCUGCUGGCUGAUUGGCCCAGUGGUUCGGACGAUUUGGCUGAUUAGUCCAGUGGUUCCGACGUUUUUAUCACUUAAGCAUUUUUCAAUUAAUUACUGGUUCAGUUCUAUGGGGGGUUUAACAAAGUGUGCCAUCUGCUAUGAAGUGUAUAUUAAAGACUCAAGUUAUGUCAUUCACGGCGUGAGGCCACCAUGUGCAGAUGCAAAGCGGUGUUGCCAAUACACGCUAAUGUUUACUCUGUUACAUUUGAUGCACGGGUAUCUACGUGCCCCUUUCUAAUGACUCCGAAUGGGAUCUCACCUGGUGAAACAAAGGGAAAGGAAUUGAAGACUGCUUUCAAACAUACAGCUCUGCCCACUUGUACAUCUGCUAAAUCGGGGAGCCAAUUUGUUCCAAUGUCACAGCAUUACCUCGUGUUACCAUUUUAAUAAGUGCUUUUAAAAUGAAUUCCGUGUCUGUGAGAACGAACAUACCCACAGCACUGUCCAGGAGCGCAACAUUAAUUAGUGACAUGCAUCUUGGAUUCGGCAUUAAGUAAAAAAAUAAAUGCUCUUUCAAAAAUACAAUAAAAAGCAAGCCAUCUGCACCAAUGUAUAAUUCUGUCAUAAGAUAUAUUCUCUUAGAACGAUAUUCUUCCCUCCCCGGAGGGCAUUUCCCCGUAAAUGUACGGGACGGCUUCAAUGGAUCGCGGUGGGCGGCUCAGUUACCACGUUGCCCCUCUCGGCUGCAGCCUUCUGGCGGAUCUUCAAUGCUUGUCUCCUCAGGGACUCGGCCUGCUCCAGCCUAGAAAUGUCACACGGCAGCAGAGAAAUCCCCCCCCCCCCCCCACCCCCGCACACUUUAGCGGUGGCGAAGCUGCGGCACCGUCACGUUUCCACACCAAGUGAGUGAAUCCAACCCGGCAGGUGGGAGCGGAAGUUGGAUGCGACCAGAGCGAGGUCCGUUGCGUCGCGUCACGUGUAACGUAAAGAGAGGAGCAGAGCGUCCGUGAGCAUCAUCAGGUCGUACGCGAGAAGGAAUAGAAUAAUCAGGCCUCAUGGCUGGUGGUGAUGGUGGAGGCUUUCAUCAGGCAUAGAUAUCUCUGGUUCUGAACCACCACUGCUCGCUCCACUUCAACCAAGCUGUACGGACCAGCAUGGGGGUGAGUUUGGGUUGUGAAGAACACCAACAGGUCGAGGGAGCUCUUCGUCCACCAGAGGCUUGAUAAAGGGCUGCACACAUUGUUUUAGUACUAGAUCCCCUACUCAGACAUUAUUCAUGUUAAAAAAAAAAAAAUGAAAUCCUCAUCGUAACAAAAAUGUUUUACAUUGUUUCUGGUUUAUGUUGUUACAUAUUGUUUCUGUCAUGUGUUUACAUUUUGAAUAUUUCUUUUUACUCAGGGACGUAAUUUUUUCGGCUUAUUUAUUUUAACCAAGGUCUCCCUUGAAAUAGAAACUCCUGGACUCACCAGGCUCUUGCUUGGUUUAAAUAAAGGCCAUCAAUCACUAAAGCAAAA